AUGGCCGGAGACCAGCUCCCGAGGAAGGUGAUGGACGCCAAGAAGCUGGCCAGCCUGCUGCGGGGCGGGCCUGGGGGGGCCUGGUCAUCGAUAGCCGCUCCUUACUGGAGUACAACAGCUGGCAUGUGCUCAGCUCCGUCAACAUCUGCUGCUCCGAGCUGGUGAAGUGGCGGCUGCAGAAGGGCAACGUGACCACUGUGGAGUUCAUCCAGCCGGCCACACGCAGCCAGGUGGAGGCCACAAAGCCACAGGACGUGGUGGUCUAUGACCAGAGCACAGGGGACGCCAGCGUGCUGGCUGCAUACAGCUUCCUCUCCAUCCUGCUGAGCAAGCUGGACGGCUGCUUCGGGCAGCGUGGCCAUCCUCGCAGGGGGCUUCGCCACCUUCUCCUCCUGUUUCCCUGGCCUCUGCCAGGGCAAGCCUGCUGCCCUGCUACCCAUGAGCCUCUCCAUCCCUGCCUGCCCCUGCCCAGCGUGGGCCUGACCUACAUCCUGCCUCACCUCUACCUGGGCUCACCGAAAGACGUCCUGAACAAGGAUCUGAUGACGCAGAAUGGAAUAAGCUACGUCCUCAAUGCCAGCAACUCCUGCCCCAAGCCUGACUUCAUCUACCAGAGCCGCUGCAUGCGGGUUCCCAUCAACGACAACUACUAUGAAAAGCUGCUGCCCUGGCUGGACAAGUCUGUCGACUUCAUCUAUAAACCCAAGCUGUCCAGCUGCCAAGUCAUCGUCCACUGUCUGGUCGGCAUCUGCCACUGUGCAACCAUCGCCAUCGCCUAUAUCAUGAAGACCAUGGGCAUGUCCGCCAACGACGCCUACAGGUUCAUGAAGUACCGGCGUCCGUCCGUCUCGCCCAGCUUCAACUUCCUGGGCCAGCUGCUGAAGUAGGAGCGCAGCCUGAAGCUGCCGGCCGCCCCCCGGGACGAUGAGGGCACCCCCUCAGGGACGCCGGAGCCUCCGCCCAGCCCUGCGGCCGGGGACCCCGCUGCCACGGCUGCCACCACCUACCUCAGAGAGCGCUGCCACCAGGAGUGCGUCUCCCAGGGAGGGCUGCCCGAGCGCAGGCGGGGAGCCCCCACGCCCCCAGCCACCAGCGCGCUGCAGCAGGGCCUGCGUGGCCUGCACCUCUUCUCAGACCGCCUACAGGAUACCAACAGCUUCAAGCGCUCCUUCUCGCUGUACAUCAAGUUAGCGAACACCCCCAGGCUGGUCCCCCGACCCCGGCGAGGCCCCGAAACUCUGGAAGCUGCACAGCCCGUCGAGGCCGCGCUGAGCCUGCCCUUGCCCAGCCGGGGCGGCCCCAGGCGCCAGUUCCCAGUCGGCUGCCCCUUCCGUCCGCACUCCCCAGCGCACAGCCUGGGCCUGAACUUCAGCAACGAGGCCCGGCAGACUCCGCUGCACGGCCUCUAGGCCCUGUCUGCACCCAGGCUGCCCGGCCCUGGCCAGCUGGCUGGCCCCGAAGCCUGGACGCCACCGCUCGACUCCCCGGGCAAGCAGUCGCCCGACAGGCCCUGGUGCUUCAGCCCCGAGGGCGCGCAGGGAGCAGGCAGAGUGCUGUUUGCGCCCUUAGGCAGGGCGGGCGCCCCGGGACCAGGGCAGGUCGCUGCCGCCGCGGGAGGCAGCGAGGACCGAGCCCCGGACGCUCUGACCGGUUGGCCCGACGAGCUGGUCCCGGCAGUUCAAGUGCCGCAGCUGCCAGAUGGAGUUAGAGGAGGGCAUCAUGGAGGGGCGCGCGCGCCCAGCGAGGAGCUGGCUGCCCUGGGCAAGCAGGCGAGCUUCUCGGGCAGCGUGGAGGUCAUCGAGGUGUCCUGACCCCUCCGCUGCCCUCGGCUCUGCCGCCCGCAGCCGGGCCCGUUACAAAUAUUUAUUAGAUAUAAUGCAAAGAAAGGUAAACGGUUUCACUGUGGUUGUUAUCGAGAAGUAAAUAUUUCUAUUGUUUAUUUAUUUAAGCUGUUCAUUCUGGCAAUGAUUUGGCAACAGUGCAGGUGGUCCUCGAGCUCUAUUUUUACUGUCUGGUAUUUAAACUGAAACACACGUUUCUAAGCAAUACAAGGCCACCUUCAGUCGCAAGCUGGGUGCCAGGCCUGGGGCCCCUCCCAGUUCCCCCGCCCCUGGAAACACUGCUGAUGUUUGCAUAGGCUGCCGAGCUUUCGUGCACUUUUUACACAAGAACAAGGUAAAAAAAGGAAAAAAAAAAAACACACACAAAAACAUAUUUGCCACAAACUGAGCCGCAGAUCCCCCCUUCUUCCGCCACCCACUUCCCCUGCUCUCUCCUUUGGGGCUCUGCACCAAAGCCAUAGGUUGGGGAAGCAGGAACUGGUGUGCCCCAGAGAGAUGCGACCAGCCCUCUACCAGCUCCAAGCACCAAAUCUUGAUGGCAGGGAGGGCACCCCGCUGCCCGUUGCUCCAGAGCUGUUCCCUCUCGGGGAAGGACAGGCAUUGGGCCCCAUGGUGCCAGGGUGUUCAGAGGGGCUGAGGUAUAGAACAGAGUGUGUAGGGGUUUGGGGCAGGGGCCUCUGGAGCAUCAGAUGAGGUAGAGCCCAGGGGAGGAUGGGGUGUUAAUGCCCCCCACUCCUGCCAGAGCCCCAGUCCAGCCACUGAGUGGCUCAGAAAGGCCAUUCCCAGAGGGCUGCGGCCCUCCCUUCUCCUUUGCCCAUGCCCCCAGAGCUGCCUGCCGGGCAGGGCGGCACUACUGCAGGAGAGGAGCUUGGCCUCAUGGGGUCAGGCAGGAGGGGCCUGGCUAGCCAGUGCUGGCUCCAUUGGGCAGGGAGCCCUGGACCGCAAGGUAUGAGGAGGCGGUGGGCUUAGGGUCCUAUUCCAGGUCUGUCCCCCACCUAGCAAGGCCCCAGGCAGGACUUGGAAAUCAGGUGUGCACCUGCAGGCUGAGGGGCUCCAUGAGCAGGUGCUGCCUCGCACAGGGAGUUCAGGUGCCAACCAAGCCCCUGUGCUUCUGGGGUAGACCUGCUUCACUUAGGGAGCGCUGCCUCAAGGCAGAUAAAGCCCACUUGUUUGCCCCGACCCGCAUGGGGGCCUCUCAGGAGAGAAACUCUUGUGCGCCCCUUUCCCAGGGCAGCUCUCUCUAGGCAGCAUGCCAGCCCCCAAAUGGUGGCUUUUGGGCCCAGGUGGGUCAGCCUGCUGCCCCUGCCCCAUACCCUCUCGGGCCGUUGGGACCCCUGCCCUUCAGAUGUCCUAGGGUCUAGGACUGAGCCAGCCACCCUGGGAAGAGGCCAGGGCCUUGGCAGGAGGGGCACCCAGGCAGGACCCAGACCUGAGUCCAGGAGCAGGGCCAGGGAGGCGCCCGCCCUGGCCCGGCCAGCCGCCCUCUCUGUGGUUUCUUCUAUUUGUUCUUCUUUUCACUCACAGCCCUGUGUUCCUAUCAUCCCUCCUUUCAGCAAAGUCCUGUUCCCUUUCCCUCUGUCCCAACCCACUCCUGUUCCCCAACAAAAUAAGCUAUCGUUGUUGUAUUCGCAAUCUAUGGAUUAAAGGUUGAAGUAUUUAUUAUUAUUGCUUAAUUAUUAUUAUGUAAAAUAUAUAUAUAUAUAUAUGAACUUGGCUAGCCAAUGUUAUUGAACAAUUCCUCUUCAAUAAAAUGUUGUUUAACGUACAGUUUAGAAAACGAUGGUAGGUUUAUUUCUUGAACUUUCAGAAAUUCAAGCUUAAAGCAUCACGUUUUUCUAAAAUUGUGUGGUGCUUUCUGUCAUUUUACUUUUGUAAACUUUAUAUGGAAUAGCAACCAUCAGUCUUCU
This is a non-coding RNA of Macaca mulatta (Rhesus monkey), 3748 nucleotides long. Lineage: Eukaryota; Metazoa; Chordata; Mammalia; Primates; Cercopithecidae. The record is from RefSeq and is a predicted model, not a curated record.